Molecule: ribosomal RNA, 503 nt
Filed under: uncultured bacterium
Lineage: Bacteria
Description: partial 16S ribosomal RNA
Rfam family: Bacterial small subunit ribosomal RNA
Source: RNAcentral
GACGAACGCUGGCGGCGUGCUUAACACAUGCAAGUCGAACGGUGAAGCGCUUGCCUUUUUGGUGGGUGUGGAUGAGUGGCGAACGGGUGAGUAACACGUGAGUAACCUGCCCUCUUCUUCUGGAUAACCUCAUGAAAGUGGGGCUAAUACGGGGUAUUCCGGGUCUGUCGCAUGGCGGGUUUGGGAAAGAUUGCGCCUUUGGGUGUUUUCGGUGGGGGAUGGGCUCGCGGCCUAUCAGCUUGUUGGUGGGGUGAUGGCCUACCAAGGCGGUGACGGGUAGCCGGCCUGAGAGGGUGGACGGCCACACUGGGACUGAGACACGGCCCAGACUCCUGCGGGAGGCAGCAGUGGGGAAUAUUGCACAAUGGGCGCAAGCCUGAUGCAGCGACGCCGCGUGAGGGAUGGAGGCCUUCGGGUUGUGAACCUCUUUCGCCAGUGAAGCAGGCCUGCUCCUGUGUGGGUGGGUUGACGGUAGCUGGAUAAGAAGCGCCGGCUAACUACGU